GAGUAAUGUCUGGGAAACUGCCUGAUGAGGGGGAUAACUACUGGAAACGGUAGCUAAUACCGCAUAACGUCGCAAGACCAAAGAGGGGGACCUUCGGGCCUCUUGCCAUCGGAUGUGCCCAGAUGGGAUUAGCUAGUAGGUGGGGUAAAGGCUCACCUAGGCGACGAUCCCUAGCUGGUCUGAGAGGAUGACCAGCCACACUGGAACUGAGACACGGUCCAGACUCCUACGGGAGGCAGCAUG
RNAcentral lists this ribosomal RNA (243 nucleotides) under uncultured bacterium. RNAcentral's name for it is "partial 16S ribosomal RNA". It matches the Rfam family "Bacterial small subunit ribosomal RNA", at positions 108 to 353 of the family's 1533-position model. The record is from RNAcentral.